AUGCACGCUGGCGGCGUGCCUAAUACAUGCAAGUCGAGCGAACAGAUGAGGAGCUUGCUCCUCUGACGUUAGCGGCGGACGGGUGAGUAACACGUGGAUAACCUACCUAUAAGACUGGGAUAACUUCGGGAAACCGGAGCUAAUACCGGAUAAUAUAUUGAACCGCAUGGUUCAAUAGUGAAAGACGGUUUUGCUGUCACUUAUAGAUGGAUCCGCGCCGCAUUAGCUAGUUGGUAAGGUAACGGCUUACCAAGGCGACGAUGCGUAGCCGACCUGAGAGGGUGAUCGGCCACACUGGAACUGAGACACGGUCCAGACUCCUACGGGAGGCAGCAGUAGGGAAUCUUCCGCAAUGGGCGAAAGCCUGACGGUGCAACGCCGCGUGAGUGAUGAAGGUCUUCGGAUCGUAAAACUCUGUUAUUAGGGAAGAACAAAUGUGUAAGUAACUAUGCACGUCUUGACGGUACCUAAUCAGAAAGCCACGGCUAACUACGUG
Molecule: ribosomal RNA, 496 nt
Filed under: uncultured bacterium
Lineage: Bacteria
Description: partial 16S ribosomal RNA
Rfam family: Bacterial small subunit ribosomal RNA
Source: RNAcentral